This is a long non-coding RNA of Branchiostoma floridae (Florida lancelet), 259 nucleotides long. RefSeq lists it as uncharacterized. The transcript has 3 exons. The record is from RefSeq and is a predicted model, not a curated record. Lineage: Eukaryota; Metazoa; Chordata; Leptocardii; Amphioxiformes; Branchiostomatidae.
CAGCACAUAAAAGGGGCAGCAUCCGCCUCCUCAGACCAGUUCGCGCCCGAGAUUCAGACGGUGGCGAGCCUCAACACGACACUUGCUUCUGGACAUCUCGUACUGCUGACUGCACCACCAUGAAACUGCGUGUCUGUAUGUUGCUUCUGGCGAUGGUCGUCAUCGCUACAAUGAUUGAUGACUCCCAGGGAUGGAGGCGCAGGAGGCGCAGGAGACUGGAGGAAGAUAAUGAAGGGACAUCAAAGCAGUCUGAUGAGAC